AGCCAUUAACACCACCAUCACACCAAUAUCCUAUACAACUAAAACAAAACAUUUAAUCCAGUCAAGUAGAUGCGAUCGAACAACUAACUGUCACCAACAAUUACCGCAAGGGAACAACCAAGCAAAAAAUAGCAAAGAUUAACCCUUGUACCUCUUGCAUCAUGGUUUAGCAAGUAACCCUAGGACAAGAAGAAUCACAGCCCCCCACCCCGAAACCAGAUGAGCUACUUUAAAGCAGCCUCCGGGGCACACCCUUCUCUGUGGCAAAAGAGUGGGAAGACUUAAAAGUAGAGGUGAAACGCCUACCGAAUCUGGAGAUAGCUGGCUACCCAAUUAAGGAAUCUAAGUUCUACUUUAGACCACCCCCAAAUAAACCCUAAUACUCUAAAGACAUUCAAUGAGGGUACAGCCUCAUUGAAACAGGAUACAACCUAAAUUUGAGAGGACAUAAAUCUACCCCCCCCCGUAGGCCUUAAAGCAGCCACCAGUCAAAAUAUCGUUAAAGAAUUAACUAAAAAAAUCCUAAAAUCUGACAAAAACUCCAAACCAACUAAAGGUAGGCCCACUACUGUGGGCACUAUUAUGCUAAAACUAAUAAUAAGAUACCAUCUCUACACGCACCUUUCCGCUAGAAACAGAAAACCUACCAGCAAUCAACAGACCCAAACAGGAAGACACCACCCCACACACAACUACACAUAACACUGUGACCCCAACACAGGCGCGUUAGAAAGAAAGAUUAAAUACUAUAAAAGGAACUCGGCAACCAAAGACCCCAACUGUUUAACAAAAACAUUACCUUUAGCUAAACAAAUAUUAAAGGCAACGCCUGCCCAGUGAACAAUUAAACGGCCGCGGUACCCUAACCGUGCAAAGGUAGCAUAAUCAUUUGUCUAUUAAUUGUAGACCUGUAUGAAAGGCAAAAUGAGGGCCUAACUGUCUCUUAUAGUCAAUCAAUUAAACUGAUCUCCCAGUCCAAAAGCUGGGAUAUAACCAUAAGACCAGAAGACCCUGUGAAGCUUUAACAAAACUAUUAAACCCACUAAUAGCUACUUUAGGUUGGGGCGACCUUGGAAAAAAAAAGAACUUCCAAACAACAUGAUUCUACCUCAUACCCCAUGGCCGACAGGCCAUUAAACCCAGACCCAGCAAAGCUGAUAAUUGAACCAAGUUACUCCAGGGAUAACAGCGCCAUCUUCUUCAAGAGCCCAUAUCAAAAAGAAGGUUUACGACCUCGAUGUUGGAUCAGGACAUCCUAGUGGUGCAGACGCUACUAAGGGUUCGUUUGUUCAACGAUUAACAGUCCCACGUGAUCU
RNAcentral lists this ribosomal RNA (1316 nucleotides) under Psammodynastes pulverulentus. RNAcentral describes it as "partial 16S ribosomal RNA". It matches the Rfam family "Bacterial large subunit ribosomal RNA", at positions 545 to 2606 of the family's 2925-position model. The record is from RNAcentral. Lineage: Eukaryota; Metazoa; Chordata; Lepidosauria; Squamata; Psammodynastidae.